GCCAAUGUGGAAUGUAAUUCUGGGCACUCAUAAGCAAACGUGUUCAUAUAUCUCAGCUUGUCAUAAAUGUACAAUGACGGGAACGAUUUGCAUCGUGAUCUGCAAGGAGUAACUCCAGGAAACGAGAAACGUAUUCAUACUCGCCAGACUAUGACCAAAAUGUCUUUUUAAAUUUCUUAGAGAAAGGCAACUGUUUAACACGUUGCCUCUCCCAGUUACAUUUUUGCAGAAACCAUCUAGACAUGACACAUUUUUGUUCACUUAGAAUUUGGGCUGCUGGUCUUUGGUAGUCAUUGAGGGUUUCUGGAAUGUCCACAGUGGUGAAAAAGAAUUAUUUAUUUACAUAGAAAGUCUUUCGGAGGAGAAUUCAACAGGAUUCUUCUCAAGUAUGCUGAGGGACGUGAAAACAAUAUACUGUAGUUUUGCUGCAGGGUUAAACACAAAAAAACACAGACUAAC
Non-coding RNA from Pelobates cultripes (western spadefoot toad), 459 nucleotides. Lineage: Eukaryota; Metazoa; Chordata; Amphibia; Anura; Pelobatidae. The record is from the annotation of a GenBank genome assembly.